RNAcentral lists this ribosomal RNA (301 nucleotides) under uncultured bacterium. RNAcentral's name for it is "partial 16S ribosomal RNA". It matches the Rfam family "Bacterial small subunit ribosomal RNA", at positions 509 to 807 of the family's 1533-position model. The record is from RNAcentral.
CAGCCGCCACGGUAAUACGUAGGGUGCGAGCGUUAAUCGGAAUUACUGGGCGUAAAGCGUGCGCAGGCGGCUUUGCAAGACAGAUGUGAAAUCCCCGGGCUCAACCUGGGAACUGCAUUUGUGACUGCAAGGCUAGAGUGCGGCAGAGGGAGAUGGAAUUCCGCGUGUAGCAGUGAAAUGCGUAGAUAUGCGGAGGAACACCGAUGGCGAAGGCAAUCUCCUGGGCCUGCACUGACGCUCAUGCACGAAAGCGUGGGGAGCAAACAGGAUUAGAUACCCCUGUAGUCCCUGUCUCUUAUAC